GCUAGUAGCUAAGCAAAGAUCUAGCAAAAAAAACCCUAAAAGAGCUUUCUUCUGAUGGGCAGCAUACCAUUCACAUGCUACCAAAUAUCUGUGUGCUGUGAAAAGAUGUGGUAUUUGGUGAACAACUUAAAAAGCUGGGGCUAAAGCUAUGUUGAAGGUUUAACUGACCAGGUCAUCAGUAAGUUACCAUAAUUCAAAAUAUCCCUGUCAAGGUGCUAGGAAUUGCCUUUCAUCAUUUGUAUCAGAUUGUAUAAUCAAUAAGGACAGAUAACGACUUUCAAUGUUAUUUUAAAACUAUUGUGUAUAUAUAUAUUCCUAACCUCCUUUUUCCAUUUGCAGGUAUUGGGCUCAGAGUAACUAAGGAUCCUGAAAUCACAGACAAUAGGAUAAAUGCAUAACUAAAUGUUGCCGUGAAAGCUUCCAGAAACAAUAUGAUUUUUCUGGCAGUUACAAGGGAACAGAUGGACAAAAUCUUGGAAAAAGGAAGAGAGAAGCAAGAUGUAAUUCUAUGUUGUAAAAUUCCUUUCCCACUUCCAGAAGUGACUAAUGCUCUCCACUUGGUGCUAUUGUACAACAGAGACAAAAGGUCUCCAGAGAGACUCAGCUGUGAAGCCAAUUUUGCUGUGCAGGCUGGAGUAAGCCACCCAUCAUCUGUGUCAGCAAAGUGGGGACUCCUGUAUUCCGAGAUCCCUGGAUGAAGAUCAUCACUCAAUACCAAAUUCUUUGCAGCUCCAUUUCACCAUCUGACUUCUACAGCAGCCAGUGCUCUAUAUAGAAAUGUCAUUUGCUUCAUCUCACAAAACCACUGAUGAGCUGUUACAGGCCCAGAUGUCAAGCUUUACAGCAGGGGAAAAAAAUAAAAAUUAAGGUAUCUGUGGUAGUUUUGUAUCU
RNAcentral lists this long non-coding RNA (891 nucleotides) under Parus major (Great Tit). RNAcentral describes it as "lncRNA (ENSPMJG00000019578.1)". The record is from RNAcentral. Lineage: Eukaryota; Metazoa; Chordata; Aves; Passeriformes; Paridae.